UAAGCAUAUCAAUAAGCGGAGGAAAAGAAACCAACAGGGAUUGCCCCAGUAACGGCGAGUGAAGCGGCAACAGCUCAAAUUUGAAAUCUGGCCCUCGGGUCCGAGUUGUAAUUUGUAGAGGAUGCUUUUGGCGAGGUGCCUUCCGAGUUCCCUGGAACGGGACGCCAUAGAGGGUGAGAGCCCCGUCUGGUCGGACACCGAGCCUCUGUAAAGCUCCUUCGACGAGUCGAGUAGUUUGGGAAUGCUGCUCAAAAUGGGAGGUAUAUGUCUUCUAAAGCUAAAUAUUGGCCAGAGACCGAUAGCGCACAAGUAGAGUGAUCGAAAGAUGAAAAGCACUUUGAAAAGAGGGUUAAAAAGUACGUGAAAUUGUUGAAAGGGAAGCGCUUAUGACCAGACUUGCGCCCGGUGAAUCAUCCAGCGUUCUCGCUGGUGCACUUUGCCGGGCACAGGCCAGCAUCAGUUUGGCGCGGGGGAAAAAGGCUUCGGGAAUGUGGCUCCCUCGGGAGUGUUAUAGCCCGCUGCGUAAUACCCUGCGCCGGACUGAGGUACGCGCAUCGCAAGGAUGCUGGCGUAAUGGUCAUCAGCGACCCGUCUUGAAACACGGACCAAGGAGUCGUCUUCGUAUGCGAGUGUUCGGGUGUCAAACCCCUACGCGUAAUGAAAGUGAACGUAGGUGAGAGCUUCGGCGCAUCAUCGACCGAUCCUGAUGUUCUCGGAUGGAUUUGAGUAAGAGCAUACGGGGCCGGACCCGAAAGAAGGUGAACUAUGCCUGUAUAGGGUGAAGCCAGAGGAAACUCUGGUGGAGGCUCGCAGCGGUUCUGACGUGCGAAUCGAUCGUCAAAUAUGGGCAUGGGGGCGAAAGACUAAUCGAACCUUCUAGUAGCUGGUUUCCGCCGAAG
Molecule: ribosomal RNA, 899 nt
Filed under: Beauveria pseudobassiana
Lineage: Eukaryota; Fungi; Ascomycota; Sordariomycetes; Hypocreales; Cordycipitaceae
Description: partial large subunit ribosomal RNA
Rfam family: Eukaryotic large subunit ribosomal RNA
Source: RNAcentral